Molecule: ribosomal RNA, 807 nt
Filed under: Gordonia sp. MALA3
Lineage: Bacteria; Bacillati; Actinomycetota; Actinomycetes; Mycobacteriales; Gordoniaceae
Description: bacterial SSU rRNA
Rfam family: Bacterial small subunit ribosomal RNA
Source: RNAcentral
CAUGCAAGUCGAACGGAAAGGCCCAGCUUGCUGGGUACUCGAGUGGCGAACGGGUGAGUAACACGUGGGUGAUCUGCCCUGGACUCUGGGAUAAGCCUGGGAAACUGGGUCUAAUACCGGAUAGGACCACUGAUUGCAUGGUUGGUGGUGGAAAGCUUUUGCGGUUCAGGAUGGGCCCGCGGCCUAUCAGCUUGUUGGUGGGGUAAUGGCCUACCAAGGCGACGACGGGUAGCCGACCUGAGAGGGUGAUCGGCCACACUGGGACUGAGACACGGCCCAGACUCCUACGGGAGGCAGCAGUGGGGAAUAUUGCACAAUGGGCGCAAGCCUGAUGCAGCGACGCCGCGUGAGGGAUGACGGCCUUCGGGUUGUAAACCUCUUUCGCUAGGGACGAAGCGUAAGUGACGGUACCUGGAGAAGAAGCACCGGCCAACUACGUGCCAGCAGCCGCGGUAAUACGUAGGGUGCGAGCGUUGUCCGGAAUUACUGGGCGUAAAGAGCUCGUAGGCGGUUUGUCGCGUCGUCUGUGAAAUUCUGCAACUCAAUUGCAGGCGUGCAGGCGAUACGGGCAGACUUGAGUACUACAGGGGAGACUGGAAUUCCUGGUGUAGCGGUGAAAUGCGCAGAUAUCAGGAGGAACACCGGUGGCGAAGGCGGGUCUCUGGGUAGUAACUGACGCUGAGGAGCGAAAGCGUGGGGAGCGAACAGGAUUAGAUACCCUGGUAGUCCACGCCGUAAACGGUGGGUACUAGGUGUGGGGCUCAUUUCACGAGUUCCGUGCCGUAGCUAACGCAUUAAGUACCCCGC